This 72-nucleotide transfer RNA is filed under the name Monodelphis domestica (gray short-tailed opossum). It matches the Rfam family "tRNA". From Rfam's summary of the family: Transfer RNA (tRNA) molecules are approximately 80 nucleotides in length. Their secondary structure includes four short double-helical elements and three loops (D, anti-codon, and T loops). Further hydrogen bonds mediate the characteristic L-shaped molecular structure. tRNAs have two regions of fundamental functional importance: the anti-codon, which is responsible for specific mRNA codon recognition, and the 3' end, to which the tRNAs corresponding amino acid is attached (by aminoacyl-tRNA synthetases). tRNAs cope with the degeneracy of the genetic code in two manners: having more than one tRNA (with a specific anti-codon) for a particular amino acid; and 'wobble' base-pairing, i.e. permitting non-standard base-pairing at the 3rd anti-codon position. The record is from Rfam by way of RNAcentral. Lineage: Eukaryota; Metazoa; Chordata; Mammalia; Didelphimorphia; Didelphidae.
GGCUGGGUAGCUCAGUGGAUUGAGAGCCAAGCCUAGAGGUGGGAGGUCCUAGGUUCGAAUCCAGCUCAGCCA